This is a long non-coding RNA of Scleropages formosus (Asian bonytongue), 569 nucleotides long. NCBI's taxonomy places the organism in Eukaryota, Metazoa, Chordata, Actinopteri, Osteoglossiformes, Osteoglossidae. The record is from Ensembl.
GAUAGAUUAAACAGCAAUUCCAUGCUUAAAUUGACAUAUUACAUAAGAGUCUGUAACAACAGAACAUCGCUGAUCUAAACCGUCCGCAACGAAAUAACAAGGUUACUCUGAGUUCACCGCUGCUAGUGGCAAGGAGGCCUGGGGCCCUCGGGGCGCAGCACACUGAGGCGAUAGCACAGCUCAGGAUUUAGAGGGAGUGCCCGUGUUAUUGGCCGGACAUUACUGUAUGACUUCAAGCCCCAUAUCCUUCUUUAAGAUUUCAAUACAGAGACCGUACACACUGCGCAGGGAUAUUCGAUGGCUAUUCUCCUGGCAGCAGAAUAAAGAGGAAAAGGAAGAUGCGGAAGCUACAUAGGAAAAGAUUUUGAAGGCAGAGGCCUCUCUCGUAAGUGCUCAAAAUGACAGAGGGAACGGCUCUUAAGUAUUACAGCGCAGGGCAGCCUUCGAAGAUGUUAAAAGACCAGCGGAGAGGUUUAGUGGAGAUGAAGAUGUGAAGUCUAUUUUUGCUACCAGCACCUGCUUUGAGUUUCCUUGUUCUGUACUCAGUGGUAACGUGAAAAAUAACCAAG